RNAcentral lists this small nuclear RNA (117 nucleotides) under Gloeophyllum trabeum ATCC 11539. RNAcentral describes it as "U5 spliceosomal RNA". It matches the Rfam family "U5 spliceosomal RNA". From Rfam's summary of the family: U5 RNA is a component of both types of known spliceosome. The precise function of this molecule is unknown, though it is known that the 5' loop is required for splice site selection and p220 binding, and that both the 3' stem-loop and the Sm site are important for Sm protein binding and cap methylation. Lineage: Eukaryota; Fungi; Basidiomycota; Agaricomycetes; Gloeophyllales; Gloeophyllaceae. The record is from Rfam by way of RNAcentral.
GGCCACGGAGGGUAGUGCAAACAGACAACGCCCUCGCCUUUUACUAGGGCGUUCCGUGUACUACCUUCACUUCAACGUGGCUUAGGCAAUUUUUCAGGACUCAGCCCUCUCUGAGUA